AUUGAACGCUGGCGGCAGGCCUAACACAUGCAAGUCGAGCGAGCGGCGGACGGGUGAGUAAUGUCUGGGAAACUGCCUGAUGGAGGGGGAUAACUACUGGAAACGGUAGCUAAUACCGCAUACCAUCAGAUGUGCCCAGAUGUGAUGAGCUAGUAGGUGGGGUAACGGCUCACCUAGGCGACGAACCCUAGCUGGUCUGAGAGGAUGACCAGCCACACUGGAACUGCGACACGGUCCAGACUCCUACGUGAGGCAGCGUUUGGGAAUAUUGCACAAUGGGCGCAAGCCUGAUGCAGCCAUGCCGCGUGUGUUAAGAAGGCCUUCGGGUUGUAAAGCACUUUCAGCGGGGAGGCGUUACCCGCAGAAGAAGCACCGGCUAACUCCGUGCCAGCAGCCGCGGUAAUAC
RNAcentral lists this ribosomal RNA (406 nucleotides) under uncultured bacterium. Its description in RNAcentral is "partial 16S ribosomal RNA". It matches the Rfam family "Bacterial small subunit ribosomal RNA", at positions 30 to 526 of the family's 1533-position model. The record is from RNAcentral.